AACGACUCUCGGCAACGGAUAUCUCGGCUCUCGCAUCGAUGAA
Molecule: ribosomal RNA, 43 nt
Filed under: Coriaria nepalensis
Lineage: Eukaryota; Viridiplantae; Streptophyta; Magnoliopsida; Cucurbitales; Coriariaceae
Description: partial 5.8S ribosomal RNA
Source: RNAcentral